UUGAACGCUGGCGGCAUGCCUUACACAUGCAAGUCGAACGGUAACAGGUCUUCGGAUGCUGACGAGUGGCGAACGGGUGAGUAAUACAUCGGAACGUGCCCGAUCGUGGGGGAUAACGGAGCGAAAGCUUUGCUAAUACCGCAUACGAUCUACGGAUGAAAGCAGGGGACCGCAAGGCCUUGCGCGGACGGAGCGGCCGAUGGCAGAUUAGGUAGUUGGUGGGAUAAAAGCUUACCAAGCCGACGAUCUGUAGCUGGUCUGAGAGGACGACCAGCCACACUGGGACUGAGACACGGCCCAGACUCCUACGGGAGGCAGCAGUGGGGAAUUUUGGACAAUGGGCGCAAGCCUGAUCCAGCCAUGCCGCGUGCAGGAUGAAGGCCUUCGGGUUGUAAAGCUCUUUCAGCAGGAACGAAACGGUGGCUACUAAUACUAGCUACUAAUGACGGUACCUGAAGAAGAAGCACCGGCUAACUACGU
Molecule: ribosomal RNA, 480 nt
Filed under: uncultured bacterium
Lineage: Bacteria
Description: bacterial SSU rRNA
Rfam family: Bacterial small subunit ribosomal RNA
Source: RNAcentral